GGCAAUGCGAGAUACAAUGUAAACAUGUACAGGAUACAAAAAGAGGAACAAGACUUGUCAAAAUGAAACGGUAGAUAAGAAAAUGCCCUGUUUUCAAAAGGAAUGCACAUCCAGUCAUUUCAUUUCAUGCUAGUGCACAGUAUGCUGAUGUUUUGAACAGACUGCCACCGGGGAAAAAAACAUCCUUUUACCUCCUCACUGCAUAUCCUUUGAAAACAAGGUGUUAGCAAGGGUUAAACACAAUUUGCAUAACAACAAUGGUUAUUUUUUUAAAAAAAGGAAAAUUUAAAGAGAAAAUGAAAGAAUAGCACCUCCUUUGGUCCAACUCAAGGCCUGUGGUUGUUGUUGUGUUUGGUAGCAGAUUGUUUUUGUCAGAAUUUACAGUUCAAGAGCUUUUUUUUUUUUUGACACGCAGCGGGGUGGUGACAAAUUCUAUCCUAUGAAUGCAACAGUGAGGCUAAAAACUCCACCUUUUACUAUGAAUCCACCUCAGCUGUCACUCAGCAUCAAUUACUCCUGACAGCUCGCCUCCGCCACCGAAACGUGGCAGAGGAGCUCCCACGCAAGAAAGGCAGCUCUUGAUUAGGAAGCCUUAGUAGCUUCUGACUGGCUGAGGUUAAUUAAGACACGCUGUUGUGCUAAUUAGAAACGGGGACUCAAACAGAGACAAAGAACGGCGCCACGGAGACGCAGUGGAGCGCCUCAUUCCUCGACACAAGCCUCUCUCUCUGGAGCUCGGCGACGGCUCCCGCUGAUGCCCGCUGGCACCUCAAACAAUCCUGGCUACAUGAGAUCUGAAGACACUGGCAGUAAAAGAAGCUAAAAUCAGACGUAGGAUCGGCUCUGCAGCUCUUCUGCGAACGGAUGGGAGGCUGAGAGAAGCUGUUGCUGCUGGAACGUCAAUUCAUUUGUCUCUCUGCACCACAAUUAAAACAUUGUUUGAUGUAAUAAGAUUUCACAACUCAGGUUUGGAAGCAGAGAGCUCAUUAGUCGGGUUGGUUAGCAGGAGUUUGAUAGAAACGGGCCUCUGCAUGUUUCAGGUGGAAUUGGUGCCCAUCGCCCUUUCAUCUCCAUCGAAGCUCACCUCCUCUCACUGCCAGAAUCCGCCAUCUGAUCCAUCUUCUGUCUCCCUGCAUCCCACUCUCACUACUCUCCUAUCUGACCUUCUCUUUUCUUAAGCACACCUGCAAAAAAAACCAUCUCAUCGUGCUAAAACAAACUCAAACGCCCAACCAGAAGCCUCCGAAGUGGCGCCAUCGUUUCAGCGGGAACAGACGGUUCGGCUGUGUCGAGGAACGUUUAAAUAAAAGAGCUAAAGGUGUUCCAUGCCUGAGAGAAACCAUCCAUUAGUUAGAAUACAAAGAAAGGGAGGAAUGACACAGAGCUGUAUCACCCGGCAACUGCUGCACUCACUAAGUAUGCACUGUUUCAGGCAGUUUGCAUACAACUGGGACAUACUACUAUGUCAUAUUAGAGCACCUAAUUUCUGAUGUUUGAAGUCAUGCAACAAAGAAUGUGGCAUAACUGUGCAGAAGACUGUGGGUCAGAAUGGCCAGAAAAGUCUGGAUGUAGUGGUGCAUCUGAGUAUUUUUGACAUUAGAUGUAUUGAGACAAGCCUUUUCUGUCGUACUAUACUAGCAUAGUGUGGUAAUAAGGAUACUGGCAUGCACAUAUGCAUUUCUUGUGGCGGGAAUGAUUCCUCAUCAUCACUUGGUUACCAAAUAUCAGCUGAGAUCGUCUGAACUGGUGAAAACUUGUAGGUGUUGGCAAAUAAGCUCAUUCACGUUGUGCUGACAGUUAGCUGAACAGAUUGAUACCACUCUCAUGUCUGUACACUAAAUUUGAAGAGGAGACUGUUAGCCGAGCCUAUGCUAGGCUCGGCUAACAGGAACCAGUAAGACUGGCUUUGUCCAAAGUUUUAAAAAAGUCCUCUACAGCUCAUUAAUUAACACAGUAUUUUUUGUUAGUUUAAUCAAAAUAACAGCUCAAGUGUAAAAACACCAAGUGGAGUUUUCAGGGGAAUUUUUUCUAGUGUUUCAACCUAUUAUAAAACCGCCACUUGUCUUUUCGAAAAAGGACUUGUUCACACCUGGCUUUUAAAUGUCUUCACUCCUGACUGGAUCUCACUUCAGCACUUCAUAUGAACAUAAAAGCAGAAUUUCUGUUUGCAGAGACCAAAAGUGUUGUUGUUUUUAAAUCAUCGGAAGGCAGCAAUGCACUCAUGUACCUAGUCUGCUGGAACAAAAAAGGAGGAGAACAAAUCAGCAGUUGUUGUUGUCGCCUGUUUAUGUACUUUAAACCCUCUGAAUCCCAAAGCUGCCGGUUUAAAAAGGCAUGCUGUCUUUAAAAAUCUUCAGAAUUUCACCAUUUUUCACAGCCAAAAACAGUAAAAACAGAAAGAAAUGUCUGGCCUGUAGCUUCAUGGAAGUCUUUGAACUGAUCCUCUGUGACAGACCAUUCCAUCCAAAAAUGAACCAAAUCUAAGCAAAAUCACAAUAUUCGCUAUGAUCGGUUGCUUUCUGUGCUCCUCAGUGCAACCAUGAAGCCAUGACUGCCUCAGCUGUGACCAAGAGUCAUUUGAGGAAAAACUCAGGAACCCUUCAGCUGUACUGGGCUGAACUGCAGGCUGUGUUUACAGGCAGGAGAAAACUAUGGAAACAGUUAUAUCCACAGCAUGUCUCCCAUUUUUGUUAGUG
This is a long non-coding RNA of Amphiprion ocellaris (clown anemonefish), 2696 nucleotides long. The record is from Ensembl. NCBI's taxonomy places the organism in Eukaryota, Metazoa, Chordata, Actinopteri, Pomacentridae.